GCCCGUCUGACGUUUGCCAAGAAACAUCUGAAUGAUUCAGAACUGGAUGAAAGUGUUGUGGUCAGUUGAGACCAAAAUCAAACUCUUAGGCAUCAACUCCAACUUGCCAUGUUUGGAAGAGGAGGAAUGCUGCCUUUUCCCCAAAGAACACCAUCCCCGCCGUCAAACAUGGAGGUGGAAACAUUAUGCUUUGGGGGUGGUUUUUUUGUUAAGGGGACAAGAUGACUGCACCGCAUUAAAGGGACGAUGGACGGGGCCGUGUACCGUCAAAUCCUGGUUGAAAACCUCCUUACCCCAGCCAGGGCAUUGAAAAU
Molecule: non-coding RNA, 314 nt
Organism: Pelobates cultripes (western spadefoot toad)
Lineage: Eukaryota; Metazoa; Chordata; Amphibia; Anura; Pelobatidae
Source: the annotation of a GenBank genome assembly